GGUCCGGCUAAUUACGUGCCAGCAGCCGCGGUAAUACGUAAGGACCGAGCGUUGUCCGGAAUCAUUGGGCGUAAAGGGUACGUAGGCGGCUAAUUAAGUUAGGAGUGAAAAGCCAUAGCUCAACUAUAGUAAGCUUUUAAAACUGAUUAGCUUGAGUGAUGGAAGGGACAGUGGAAUUCCUGGUGUAGUGGUGAAAUGCGCAGAGAUCAGGAAGAAUACCAGUGGCGAAGGCGACUGUCUGGACAUUAACUGACGCUGAGGUACGAAAGCGUGGGGAGCAAACAGGAUCAGAUACCCUGGUAGUCCACGCUGUAAACGAUGAGUGCAAGGUGUUGGGGGUCAAACCUCGGUGCCGCCGUUAACACAGUAAGCACUCCGCCUGGGGAGUACGUACGCA
Molecule: ribosomal RNA, 397 nt
Filed under: uncultured bacterium
Lineage: Bacteria
Description: bacterial SSU rRNA
Rfam family: Bacterial small subunit ribosomal RNA
Source: RNAcentral